GUCGAGAAUCUUUCACAAUGGGGGCAACCCUGAUGGAGCGACGCCGCGUGGAGGAUAAGAUCUUCGGAUUGUAAACUCCUGUCAUGCGUGAACAAGGUUGCUUGGUUAAUACCUGGGCAAAUUGAUGGUAACGCAAGAGGAAGAGACGGCUAACUCUGUGCCAGCAGCCGCGGUAAUACAGAGGUCUCAAGCGUUGUUCGGAAUCACUGGGCGUAAAGGGUGCGUAGGCGGCGUGGUAAGUCAGAUGUGAAAGCCCGGGGCUCAACCUCGGAACUGCAUCCGAUACUGCCAUGCUAGAGUACUGGAGAGGUGACUAGAAUUCUCGGUGUAGCAGUGAAAUGCGUAGAUAUCGAGAGGAAUACCAAAGGCGUAGGCAGGUCACUGGACAGUUACUGACAUUGAGGCACGAAGGCCAGGGGAGCGAACGGGAUUAGAAACCCCUGUAGUCA
Molecule: ribosomal RNA, 449 nt
Filed under: uncultured bacterium
Lineage: Bacteria
Description: partial 16S ribosomal RNA
Rfam family: Bacterial small subunit ribosomal RNA
Source: RNAcentral